This 427-nucleotide ribosomal RNA is filed under the name uncultured bacterium. Its description in RNAcentral is "partial 16S ribosomal RNA". It matches the Rfam family "Bacterial small subunit ribosomal RNA", at positions 355 to 774 of the family's 1533-position model. The record is from RNAcentral.
UGGGGAAUAUUGCACAAUGGGCGCAAGCCUGAUGCAGCCAUGCCGCGUGUAUGAAGAAGGCCUUCGGGUUGUAAAGUACUUUCAGCGGGGAGGAAGGUGUUGAGGUUAAUAACCUCAGCAAUUAACGUUACCCGCAGAAGAAGCACCGGCUAACUCCGUGCCAGCAGCCGCGGUAAUACGGAGGGUGCAAGCGUUAAUCGGAAUUACUGGGCGUAAAGCGCACGCAGGCGGUCUGUCAAGUCGGAUGUGAAAUCCCCGGGCUCAACCUGGGAACUGCAUUCGAAACUGGCAGGCUAGAGUCUUGUAGAGGGGGGUAGAAUUCCAGGUGUAGCGGUGAAAUGCGUAGAGAUCUGGAGGAAUACCGGUGGCGAAGGCGGCCCCCUGGACAAAGACUGACGCUCAGGUGCGAAAGCGUGGGGAGCAAACA